This 240-nucleotide ribosomal RNA is filed under the name uncultured Lactobacillus sp. Its description in RNAcentral is "partial 16S ribosomal RNA". It matches the Rfam family "Bacterial small subunit ribosomal RNA", at positions 122 to 355 of the family's 1533-position model. Lineage: Bacteria; Bacillati; Bacillota; Bacilli; Lactobacillales; Lactobacillaceae. The record is from RNAcentral.
UAACCUGCCCAANAGAUCGGGAUAACACCUGGAAACAGAUGCUAAUACCGGAUAACAACAGAUGAUGCCUAUCAACUGUUUAAAAGAUGGUUCUGCUAUCACUCUUGGAUGGACCUGCGGUGCAUUAGCUAGUUGGUAGGGUAACGGCCUACCAAGGCGAUGAUGCAUAGCCGAGUUGAGAGACUGAUCGGCCACAUUGGGACUGAGACACGGCCCAAACUCCUACGGGAGGCAGCAGUU